ACUCCUACGGGAGGCAGCAGUGGGGAAUAUUGCACAAUGGGCGCAAGCCUGAUGCAGCCAUGCCGCGUGUGUGAAGAAGGCCUUCGGGUUGUAAAGCACUUUCAGUCGUGAGGAAGGUGGUAGUGUUAAUAGCACUAUCAUUUGACGUUAGCGACAGAAGAAGCACCGGCUAACUCCGUGCCAGCAGCCGCGGUAAUACGGAGGGUGCGAGCGUUAAUCGGAAUUACUGGGCGUAAAGCGCAUGCAGGUGGUUUGUUAAGUCAGAUGUGAAAGCCCGGGGCUCAACCUCGGAAUAGCAUUUGAAACUGGCAGACUAGAGUACUGUAGAGGGGGUAGGAAUUUCAGGUGUAGCGGUGAAAUGCGUAGAGAUCUGAAGG
Molecule: ribosomal RNA, 377 nt
Filed under: uncultured bacterium
Lineage: Bacteria
Description: bacterial SSU rRNA
Rfam family: Bacterial small subunit ribosomal RNA
Source: RNAcentral